Austrofundulus limnaeus is the source of this 740-nucleotide long non-coding RNA. RefSeq lists it as uncharacterized. NCBI's taxonomy places the organism in Eukaryota, Metazoa, Chordata, Actinopteri, Cyprinodontiformes, Rivulidae. The transcript has 4 exons. The record is from RefSeq and is a predicted model, not a curated record.
AACAUUUUGUAAGCUCGUGCUGCCUUGUCAGCAUUUAGUUUUAUUUAGUAAAAUUUUUAUGUUUAGUUUUGCUGAAGGUCCUCGUGUCAGCCUGCAUCCUUGGGUCCAACCACCUCCAGGAAACAUGGGAAAACAUCCUCAACUGUUUAAUUUUCAAGCCACAAACAGAAGAAGGAGGAGAAAAAGAUUAGGAGGACCUGUUUUCAGACCUCAGCCAGCCAAACCCAGCUUAAUCAUAUCAAAGUUGUAUCUCUGAGCUGUGCCUGAUGGGAGAAGAGUUGGUGACGUUUCCAUCUCACUGAACACAGUGUCCAUGUAACAUCGAGGCCACACUUUGACUUGUGAGAUACACAAACAGCAGGCUGWGAUGGAGGUUUCAGAGGUCGUAACAGAACUGGCAGACAGAAAGCUUGUCCUUGAGAGGCUGUCUUCGCUCUGACUGAUGGUGAAUCAUUCAUGGAGUGCAGAAAACAUGAGAGCUUGAUUAAGGAAGAGGAGAAAUCUGCUGCAAACUUAAAUCAGUCCAGACUGAAGACUGAUUAGAGCAGAAUUUUACAUAAAAAAAAAAACCCUGGAAGGAGCAGAUCGGUGCAUAUGAUGCUUCAAACACCUAAAAAUGAGUUUUCAAUAAACCAUCUUUAUUGCAUUGGGACGUACAUUCAUAAAGUAAAAAUCAAUACAAARAUGCACAAUUCUUCCACACUAUUAUGGAUUAUUUAUUGUGGUUAUAGUUGUGCAGA